GAACGAGGUCCAACCUUCGGGUGAAGACCGAGUGGCGAACGGGUGAGUAACACGUGGGGAACCUACCCUUCUCUCUGGGAUAACGUCGAGAAAUCGGCGCUAAUACCGGAUACUCCUUGCGGAUCGCAUGGUCUGCUUGGGAAAGCUCCGGCGGAGAGGGACGGCCCCGCGGCCCAUUAGCUAGUUGGUGAGGUAACGGCCCACCAAGGCGACGAUGGGUAGCCGAGCUGAGAGGCUGAUCGGCCACACUGGGACUGAGACACGGCCCAGACUCCUACGGGAGGCAGCAGUGGGGAAUCUUGCGCAAUGGGCGAAAGCCUGACGCAGCAACGCCGCGUGCGGGAUGAAGGCCCUCGGGUCGUAAACCGCUUUCAGCAGGGAUGAAACUGACAGUACCUGCAGAAGAAGCCCCGGCUAAAUACGUGCCAGCAGCCGCGGUAAUACGUAUGGGGCAAGCGUUAUCCGGAUUUAUUGGGCGUAAAGCGCGCGUAGGCGGCUUGUUAAGUCAGAUGUGAAAUCCGGGGGCUCAACCCGCGGCUUGCAUCUGAAACUGGCAGGCUUGAGUCUGGUAGAGGAAAGUGGAAUUCCUGGUGUAGCGGUGAAAUGCGCAGAUAUCAGGAGGAACACCAGUGGCGAAGGCGGCUUUCUGGGCCACGACUGACGCUGAGGCGCGAAAGCUA
RNAcentral lists this ribosomal RNA (680 nucleotides) under uncultured bacterium. RNAcentral's name for it is "SSU rRNA". It matches the Rfam family "Bacterial small subunit ribosomal RNA", at positions 64 to 762 of the family's 1533-position model. The record is from RNAcentral.